Long non-coding RNA from Astatotilapia calliptera (eastern happy), 2738 nucleotides. Lineage: Eukaryota; Metazoa; Chordata; Actinopteri; Cichliformes; Cichlidae. The record is from Ensembl.
UUUCAAUUUCACACUGAAAAGUGUUAUGCUUUUUUAAUUUUCUGAUAGUCCCUUGCCUCUGUCGGCCACUUUGCAGGAUAGAUAUCUGCCCAAGAAGUUAAUUUAAAUGACUUUUGAGGAUGGUGAUUGAUCCAUUGCAUACUAAAUAACUUUCCAAGCCUAAUAUGAAGUGCCACAGCAGAAAGAAUAAGAAUAUGUUAUGAGCUCUUCCAAAUCACUCCCCUAUUGUAGCUAUCUAUUAUCAAUCUAAUUAUGUAAGCGCUGUUCGUUUCAUGGCUCUCACCUUAAUCCCACACAGAAUACCGAAUGUAGUCACUGUCAAAACCACUAAUCUUACAAUAAAUGCACUGCAGUGUUGCAUGCUGAAUUUGAAUACUUACGAUUCAUUUUUCAAGGGCUUUAGGCUCAUAUUCAAAAUAUAUAAAAACAAAAAAGCGGUUUGUUUAUUGUUUUGCUUUGGAUUCUCAGAGAUCACAGAGGCUGAGGCAGGUUUUCUUUUGUUUACCGAGGAAGAUCACAGCCUGGGUCAUAUUAGAGAUGUUUACUCCUCCUGUCAAAGGAUAAGUUGUAAAUUUUAGCUCACAGGAAAUGAAAGAUGUAGUGGCAUGCUGAGUACAGACACCAAAGUAAUGUCACCUUGAGUGAGCACUUCUCUUGUCUGGACUGGCAGGUGAUAUCAGAGGAUAAACUCCAUUUUGACCUUGUGUUCACUCAUCUCAACAAAAACACAGGAGAAGAACAGCAUUUAAAAAAAAGAAAAAAAGAAACACCCGUCACAUUUCAAAUAUUAUUGCUUCAGUCAUGGCUGCCGAUAACGGCGCUUCAUUCUGUCUGGAGCAACGGAGCAAUGUCUAGGCUUGAUGUUAACGUUGUUUAUUAAAAAUGCAAAAAAAAAAAAAAAAAGAAAAGAAGAAGAAUUAAAAAAACAACAACUACUAAACAUAUCUUCAUUAACAUUCACUCCCGUGUAGGUGUGAUUGAUUCCAUCAUCAACCAAGUUAUUUUCGUGACCAGCAUAGGAACAUCAAACACCAUGACCUCCAUUAUUUCCCCUUUGAAAUUGCAUUCACUUUAUUCACCUUUGUGGCUCUCCAAUACCUUGAAUCAUUUCUCCUGGGAGGUGUUUUUUUCUAACCUGCUGCUUCUCUGCCAGUCCUAAGAGCAGUGUAACCAGCAAUUCUCUCACACUGUAUGUGGGACACUUGAGCUAAGAGUGAGAUGAGACAUCUGGCACAACCUUCCCGAGACUGUGCACUAGAUUCAGCUCAGUGAAAUUUAGACAGAGACCCCCAAAAUAAAGUAGCACACAUGUUAUAUUUAUCUUGAUAAUAUAUGGCUCUUCUGUGGCAGGAUUCAAAUUCACUCUUUGAUACUGAGUUCUGUGUCUGUGGAAAAAGAUGCAAAUAGAUUUAAACAUUUAUAUGUCUUUGUAAGUUAUUCUGGGCCUAUGCACCUCUAACGUCUCACUAAAUAAAUAGGAGUUAGAAAAAAUAGAAUGAACCUGGAAAAAAAAAAUCUGACUUCUUUCCAGGAGUUAGAGGAAAACUUACUCACCACUCGUGUCUGUGCUCUAAGAGUGGAUCUGAAGCCAGGUGGAAGUUAGAUUAGCUUAGCAUAAAGGCUUUUACCACUGGGGAAAGAGAUGCCCUAGAUAUCACCAAAGCAAAUUGUGUGCCUGCCACCUCUUUAAAGCCCACUAAUUAUCAGAUUUUGUUUGUUUAAUAUCUACACAAAAUGAAAUCUGCUAAUGAGAAUCAAUCAUUUUGGUAAUUACAAGCAAGGUUUGCUUGGUUAUCUGAAGUCUUGUCAUCGCAAUCAAGAUUAGACUCCAACCAGUAGGGACACUGCGCACAAUACAACUCCACCUGCAACAAAAUUUAUGUGCAAUUUUAAGCUCAUUCUUUGUGUAUAGAUAAAACAAAUGAGAUAUAUUGUGUUAUUCCCUGAGCUUUAGAAGUCUUGAUAGGCUUAUAUCAGAUCUAGCCGAACUGUUUUUUUUUCUUUCCUGCUCCACAUGUAUCGACACGAUAAGAGUGGUACUGAUCUUUUCUUUUCUUUUUUCUCUUAAAAUGUUUGCACCAGUAGGAUUACUGAUGCGCUUAUGUAAUAUGCCCAUCUAUGAGCACUCCAUAACUUUUUGCCCUUUUCAAAGUGCUUUUCACUUCUGUCUUUAUUAGCAAAUACAAUACACUUUUCUUCGUAGUUCUCAUACUGGUUCAGUUGUCGUGUAAUUGAAGAAAUUACAUCUUGGUGUAAGAUGCUUGAUGAUGGCCUUCUUAAGCUUUAUCCACUCAUCUAUUACUUUCUGGUUAAAAACACAAAACAAAACAAAAAAAACCUUGGUUACAUUGCAGUUUGAUGCUGGACUUUGUAGUGGUUUUCGUAUUUUGAGUGUGUGUGCACCUGGAGAGGUGUGCUCUUCUUAUUCUUUUCUUUUCUUUUUUUUCCCAGCUCUUGUUCUGGCUCCUUACCAUUUCCUGUAGUCUCCCCUACAGCUGUCCCAAGGGUUUUCAUACACCAUCCCUUGAGUUAAAAACAUCAGUUUUAACUUAAGGGGUAUCUUCUCCUUGGAGUGUACUUGGAAAGAUGUUAAUGUGUAAGCGCAGGCUGGCAGGAUACUUAUAGCUUCAAGACUUUGACUAGAUAUUCUUACAUUACAAUAGGAAAGAAUGACUUCAAUUGAGCAGACAGCCUUGUUCAAAGCCUGAAUCAAAAUGUCCAAAUCUGUGAUAUUCCCA